RNAcentral lists this ribosomal RNA (253 nucleotides) under uncultured bacterium. RNAcentral describes it as "partial 16S ribosomal RNA". It matches the Rfam family "Bacterial small subunit ribosomal RNA", at positions 524 to 776 of the family's 1533-position model. The record is from RNAcentral.
UACGGAGGAUCCAAGCGUUAUCCGGAUUUAUUGGGUUUAAAGGGUGCGUAGGCGGCCUAUUAAGUCAGGGGUGAAAGACGGUAGCUUAACUAUCGCAGUGCCUUUGAUACUGAUGGGCUUGAAUACACUAGAGGUAGGCGGAAUGUGACAAGUAGCGGUGAAAUGCAUAGAUAUGUCACAGAACACCAAUUGCGAAGGCAGCUUACUAUGGUGUGAUUGACGCUGAGGCACGAAAGCGUGGGGAGCAAACAGG